Non-coding RNA from Hydra vulgaris (swiftwater hydra), 110 nucleotides. Lineage: Eukaryota; Metazoa; Cnidaria; Hydrozoa; Anthoathecata; Hydridae. The record is from RefSeq and is a predicted model, not a curated record.
UUUGUUUUUAAGCAUAUUUGUUUUUAUUUUUUAUAUCGAAUUAAUAGAAUGAAUCAGAUUGAAGAUGAAGUUGCUGAAUUACUAAGAAAUGAUGACAAUAUUGAAGCAAG